This 305-nucleotide ribosomal RNA is filed under the name uncultured bacterium. Its description in RNAcentral is "bacterial SSU rRNA". It matches the Rfam family "Bacterial small subunit ribosomal RNA", at positions 334 to 654 of the family's 1533-position model. The record is from RNAcentral.
GCCUCCUACGGGACGCAGCAGUGGGGAAUAUUGCACAAUGGGCGAAAGCCUGAUGCAGCAACGCCGCGUGAAGGAAGAAGGCUUUCGGGUUGUAAACUUCUUUUGACAGGGAAGAGCAGAAGACGGUACCUGUCGAAUAAGCCACGGCUAACUACGUGCCAGCAGCCGCGGUAAUACGUAGGUGGCAAGCGUUGUCCGGAUUUACUGGGUGUAAAGGGCGUGUAGCCGGGCUGACAAGUCAGAUGUGAAAUCCGGGGGCUCAACCCCCGAACUGCAUUUGAAACUGUUGGUCUUGAGUAUCGGAG